RNAcentral lists this long non-coding RNA (1217 nucleotides) under Cricetulus griseus (Chinese hamster). RNAcentral describes it as "lncRNA (ENSCGRG00000024546.1)". Lineage: Eukaryota; Metazoa; Chordata; Mammalia; Rodentia; Cricetidae. The record is from RNAcentral.
GCCUGCAGUCUAGUAAAGCUGGGGGCAGGGAGCAGGUGGGCAGGCGGGCCCGGGUGAGUUCAUUGGAGCCCCUGGCCAGCCUCAUACAUUAUGCAUUUGUAUUCACUGUAGCCAUGGCAUUCCAGGCAGUGGCCCAAACAAUACAGAGGACACAGCUGUUGAGGAGCUUAUGGCCUCACAUUUUCCCCUGCAGAGCAGCCCGGAAAUCCCUUCCUGAACAUGCCAGUGUGAAGACUCCCUCCCAGUGCGGUGCAGGGACAGCUCUCCCUGGGAGAUCUCUGGAGCCAGCACAGAGCCGGAUACAGCCAAGCUCACAUUCAGCGAUGCAUUCAUCCGCAGCUUCCCACAUACUCACUCUGCUUACCCAGGGCUGGAGAUCACAGGGGCAGUUCAACAAGGCUCACAGUCAAAGCAGGGAAGUAACAGAACAGGACAGCCCGUGGCAGUCACGGAGGAAGAGGAUACAGGCGGUGCCAGCCUCUAAGGGUAAUCGUGCUGACUGCUCCCAGGUGGGGAGGCUUUGGUAGAUGCUGCUCUGGAAGAAGAGAACACACCCAGCUUCCAACCAAGAGCUGGGCAGGCCAGGGUGGCAUGGGUCACUUGCCAACUGCCUGCUAAGUUCUGCCUAUAUCUUUUACAGACACGCCAAGUUAGUGGUCCUGUUCACCUCUACUGCCCAGAGAGGAAACUGAGGCACAGGUCAGAACUGUGACCAGAAGAGGAGCUGUCAGAGGAGAUAAUCAUUUGGUCCAAGUUCAGCAAGGUCUGACUUGGGCUCUGGAUGGCAGGGUAAGUGGGCAGAACUUUCUGUGUCAAUUGACAAGGACAUCCUGGCUUCUGGUUUGUGUCUCUGCUCAUAAGGCUAUGUUCAGACCUGAGAUGUAUGCAUGGGGAGGGCAGCAUGACCAGCCUGGCAGCUGGUACAUGGCGUUGUCCAGCAAAAGAGGAUGGUGACUAAUCUACUACGGUUCUUGAACCCAGCCAUUCCAAAGAUGGAGUGUUCUGAAAAAUCAAAUUAUCCCUUAGGUGAGCUGGAUUUUAGAACAUGGCCAGCCUAGAUUUGGGUCCUGACUCUGCUACUUAUUCACUGGGUAACUUUGGGCAAGUAAGGUGUCCUCCCCCAGUCAGGGUGACCUUAUCUGCAAAGAGUAAAAGAAAGGAAUACCUACCCUUACCUUGCAGCUUUGCUGGGAGAUUGACAGAAAGCAAGUGCUCUC